Molecule: microRNA, 21 nt
Filed under: Callorhinchus milii (elephant shark)
Lineage: Eukaryota; Metazoa; Chordata; Chondrichthyes; Chimaeriformes; Callorhinchidae
Description: Cmi-Novel-19_3p (mature (guide))
Source: RNAcentral
CGAGUGACAGGAAGAGAGGCA